GAGGAGGGAAAUUACUUUGUGGAAAUGCUGCCGGCACUUAAACGUUCUCAUAUUAAAUUAUUUGUGGUCUUUGCAUUGGUCUGUUUGUUUAUAAUACUAUUGAGGUAUUCAACUCUCCCAGUUUUAACACCUAGUCGUACAGUGGUGACAAGAAAAACACUUACAAUGCCAGCCUCCGAAGUACUCGUUGCUUUAAUUGCUGGUCAGCUGAGCACUUGAGAAAGGUUUGCAAGACAGAUACAAAAUGCUUUAAAUGUGAAGGCGUGCAACAUAUUGCAAGGGAGUGUCCAAAAGUAUCCAGAUCUGUGCAGGUGGUUUAGUCUUCAAAAUGACAUAAAGCGAUAAACGUGAACGGAGUUGAUAUAAAUUGUCUGGUGGACACUGGAGCGGAUGUGUCAAUUGCUUGCAACUCUGUUUUUAGGAAACUGACCGGCGUAAAACAUUCACGAACUUUCAGCGCGACAAGACAGCGCUGGACAUAAUGAGCUAAGUAUAUACAAUAUUGUCAUGACCAAAAAUAACUUAAGCGUUUCUGAACAAUUUAAGCCGAUAAUUCAACCGUUGGUCGAGAAUUACAAGCCAGCUGAAUCUCCAAUCUAGUGUCCUGUACAAACGAGGAUUGUACCGGACGAAAAAAUAAAUCCACCAACCAAGUCGGUAUUCAGCUAUGGAAGCGGCCGCAGUAAGAGACCAAGUGGACGAUUGGCAUAAGAAUGAAAAAGUUCGGAGUGAAGAAGAAAAACGGGACAAACAGAAUUUGUUUUGAUUUCCGUCAGCUGAACAGGGUGGUUCUCAGAGAAAGUUUCGCUGCUAGAAAACUGCAACUGCUAGAAAAGCUGCAAUCUGCAAAAUCACUGUCAUGGAUCUCGAGAACAGCUUCUUACAUGUACCGAUCGAAGAGUCUAGUCGUAGCUACACUGCUCUUAAAACCAAGGAGGAUUUAUUUGAGUUCUGCAAAGCACCGUUUGGAUUUUGCAACUCACCUGCCGUGUUUAACCGUUUUGUCAUUGCCAUUUUUCAAAACUUGAUACAAAAAGAUGUCACGCAGAUUUACGUUGACGAUAUAAUCAUAUUCGCUCAAACAAACGAGGAGUUCAUAGUCCAGUUAAAGAAAGUCCUGGAAGAGGGAGUUAAAAAUGGAUUGCGCAUUAAGUGGAACAAAUUAUCUUUCUUGGUAAAGAGGAUCAUCUUUUUGGGUCACACAGUGGAGGACGGCAAAACCUGGCCAGGAGAGAAAAAAAGAAGUUUACCCGACCCAAGAACAUUAAAAUGUCCAAGCGUUCUUAGGAUUAACAGGAUUUUCGAAAAUUUGUAGGAGGGUAUGCAAUAAUAGCCAAACCGCUGACACACUUGUUACAGAAAGACACCGAGUUUAUUUUUGAAGCCAAACAGCUAAAGGAUAUACUGUCGAAUAAACCUGGCCUGCAGUUGUAUAACAGGGAAACAACAAACCGAACUACUGAUGCUUCUAGGAAUGGGUUUGGCGGCAUAUUAAUGCGACAGCUAACUACAGCUGGCUUGAGCUGAAUUGAGUUGGCAUUAGUCAAGCCAAACAGAACUCACUGAAAUGGAGAUAGUGGAAAUGGAGAAAUGCAGAUGGUGGGUGCAGAAACACCUCAAGAGCGCUGAAAUCAUAGCUACGUGUGCUGGAAAAUUAGGAUUGUGAAAAUAGAGUCAAGUUGUGAAGUAGUAAAAGAUGUCGACGAUCCCUCGUCCAAGCAUAGAAAUUGGUGUGUCGCGGAUGCUAUGUCGGAGGAUCAAUCGUCAUCAAGUUGUUAAGUCUAAACUACUAACUACUACUACAAGUCUAAGUAUAUCAAUAAACAGGCUUUUAUGCCUAGUAUUGCAACAAAGUCUUACAAUGGGCAAGGACUGUAUGCAUGUUAUAGAUGUGUUUAGAAUAUCU
RNA transcript from Drosophila yakuba, 1906 nucleotides. It is a transcript of the gene named gamma-interferon-inducible-lysosomal thiol reductase, with no coding region annotated. The transcript has 3 exons. The record is from RefSeq and is a predicted model, not a curated record. NCBI's taxonomy places the organism in Eukaryota, Metazoa, Arthropoda, Insecta, Diptera, Drosophilidae.